UACGUAGGGUGCGAGCGUUAAUCGGAAUUACUGGGCGUAAAGCGCACGUAGGCGGUUCGUUAUGUCGGAUGUGAAAGCCCUUGGCUUAACCGAGGAAGUGCAUCCGAAACUGGCGAGCUAGAGUACGAAAGAGGAUCGCGGAAUUCCCGGUGUAGAGGUGAAAUUCGUAGAUAUCGGGAGGAACACCGGUGGCGAAGGCGGCGAUCUGGGUCGAUACUGACGCUGAGGUGCGAAAGCGUGGGGAGCAAACAGG
Molecule: ribosomal RNA, 253 nt
Filed under: uncultured bacterium
Lineage: Bacteria
Description: partial 16S ribosomal RNA
Rfam family: Bacterial small subunit ribosomal RNA
Source: RNAcentral